RNAcentral lists this long non-coding RNA (998 nucleotides) under Capsicum annuum. RNAcentral describes it as "long non-coding RNA (CANN_LNC015586)". The record is from RNAcentral. Lineage: Eukaryota; Viridiplantae; Streptophyta; Magnoliopsida; Solanales; Solanaceae.
AGUUGUCAUUAGCAUAAAAGUCAUAUUAUCAACGAGGGAAAUUGGCACAACCAGACAUCUCAAACAUUGAUAAACAUUGAUAAGGGAAGAAUUAGGCCUUCAUUAGGAUAUUCCUUUCAUCCGCAUGGCAAGGCUUGCCAGUUUCCUGGAGUACACUCGCAUCUGGUUUGAUUCCAAGUAGGUCCUCCCCUAAAGUCGCUUUCAUGUUACCAAGAGGCACGGAUUUAAGCUGUGGAAAUAACGUCUAGUAAAAAUGACCCCUGCAUCGGGGGAGCUUUGGUGUACUGCACUCAAAUAGGUCGAGUAAAGCUGUUCAUCGAAGCUAGUAUGAUGGCUUCGUAGUGAGUGUUGUUGUUGGGAUUUGGAUAUGGAAUCUCCAGGUUGUUACUCGUAUGACUCAACGCUUAACCACCCUUUUAGGACAAUGAAACUUUAUUAUUGCUUCUAGCAAGUUUCUUUUUCCGAUGUGCUAGUUUGUUCAGGGUGUUAACUGUUUAUUCUGAGUAGAGAAUGCAUAAAUAUCAGCCAGUUGCCAGCUUAUUGAAAUUAUACUUUUUGUUUGUUACCUUUGCUACCAUCUGAUAGUUACACGUGGGAAUUUGGAAGGUUUUAUCUGCAUCAUCAACAUAAACUCUCUUAAACUGCAAGUUUGAAUUACACAUAAUUAUUGGUAAUUUUGAAAACGAAAGAGAUUCAUGGUCUACAAAAUGUUACAGAAUUUUGAAGCUAGGGCUUGGGGGCGUGUAUUUCUUCAUUUUGUGUCCCGUUUUCUCUAAAAUAGAUAAGUUUCUUCACUAUACUGAACUAAGCUUACAAAUUUUUCAACUUCCUAUGACUAGUGAUAAAUUUGCAGCAAAAGCAGUCAUUUUGCUUAAUUGAUUUCUGCAGUGGGCUAGUAGCCGAGGCUGAUAUAGAACUUUUUCAGCUUUUAUAGAUAUCAUAUCUUUCGUCUACUGCUGCCUCUGGAAAUUUGUUCCAACUUCCAGAAUGUAGGAAGC